UACGGAGGGUGCAAGCGUUAUCCGGAUUCACUGGGUUUAAAGGGUGCGUAGGUGGGCAGGUAAGUCAGUGGUGAAAUCUCCGGGCUUAACCCGGAAACUGCCGUUGAUACUAUUUGUCUUGAAUAUUGUGGAGGUAAGCGGAAUAUGUCAUGUAGCGGUGAAAUGCAUAGAUAUGUCACAGAACACCAAUUGCGAAGGCAGCUUACUAUGGUUUUAUUGACACUGAGGCACGAAAGCGUGGGGAUCAAACAGG
Molecule: ribosomal RNA, 253 nt
Filed under: uncultured bacterium
Lineage: Bacteria
Description: partial 16S ribosomal RNA
Rfam family: Bacterial small subunit ribosomal RNA
Source: RNAcentral